UGUGCGGGGAAUUGCUUAGUAAUAAGUCUCUCAAAAGGAAAACAUUUAAAUGACACAACCUGACCAAACAUCAACAGCAGGGAGUUCUUUCAGAACAGGGUGGAAUGCUUCAGGAAACUGCUUCGACAGUGGAAAAAUGGCUUGUCAUCAUUGAUUAGUCCAAAGGAUAUGAACAUCCUACUCCUAACCUGGACGACGCUAGGGCAAUUGCGUGCCGCCCUAUGGGACUCCCGAUCAUGGCCGGUAGUGAUACUGCCCAGGAUCGAACCAAGGUCUGUAGUGAUGCCUCUAGCACUGAGGUGCAGUGCCUUAGACCGCUGCGCCACUCGGGAGUACAGUAGGGAGAAGUCUUCCAAGUUUGUCCCAAAGUCUUGGGACUGUUUCAAGGUCUACGGAAGACCCAUACGGACAUAGUUUUGGGUAAAGUGGGCUAACAAAGCCUCCGAACUCCCUGUGUCUCAAAUUCUCUCACAUGGGCGUGCUCGGGUUGGACGUGGCGCUUCUGAAUCUGCCGCUUUUGACCUUAUGUAAUGAAGAAAUAGCUCAGAGGGCAAAGUGACUGUGUCUGUCAACCACGUUCGACCCUCUCUAAGCCCUGCCUCCCUACGGGACAAUAUGAAGCGUAUAAUCCCAUUAGCUCUUAUUACCUGGCUGCCAGUUAGAGGGUAUGAUGACUUCACAGACUAAGUAAGCAUGACUGUUAAUUGUUAAUUCUAUUGUUGAACAGUCAGCGACAGUCUGACGAUGAGGAACGCAGCCACAGAUUUUAGUGAUAAUGGCUGUAACAGCCAUUGACAAUGUGACAGUGCAUUAACCGCAGUGCCGGAUAUGCUCCAUUUACGGUUUGUACCAAUACUGUGUAAAGUUUGUACCUGUGAUUAUUAAGAGGGAAUAAAAUAGAAAAGAGUAUAAAUAAACACUGUUUAUUUUGGUAUUUUAUGAAUUUAUCAUGCCUUCUCAAGCCUG
This is a long non-coding RNA of Oncorhynchus keta (chum salmon), 966 nucleotides long. RefSeq lists it as uncharacterized. The transcript has 3 exons. The record is from RefSeq and is a predicted model, not a curated record. Lineage: Eukaryota; Metazoa; Chordata; Actinopteri; Salmoniformes; Salmonidae.